GAAAGGAAUCACCUUGUCUUUGCUGUUUCAUCAGAGUUCUGGUUCUUGAAAGUCAGUGUCAGAUGGAUCUCCAAUAGAAGGCAAGGAAGACAGAGGGUUUCUAUCAAUACUGUUUUGUUCAUGCUCUUUAGAUUCUUAAAAUCAUGGAGCUAGAGACAAGAUCAAAUGGUGCUUUCUUUGCCUAAUUCUGGAUGCAACUGUUUAGAUGUGUUUUGGAGACCCAGUAAGGCUGUGUUUCUAGUUUAAGAAGGCAAUAUACUGGAAGGCUUUGAGUCAUCUGUAACACACUAGGACCCAGCAACCUCCUAGGAGUUGUACUCCAAGUCUAACUCAGUGAAGGAUUGUGACACGCAGCUGCCUGGAUGAAGGUCACAUUAGCUGGACUCAAGUCUAAUUUCAGAGAUAAGAUCUUGCUACUCUACUAUUGUUUUGCCACAACUCAGCAAACAACAAAGUACAAGAAAAUAUUAGCCUGCAAGAUGAUCCUUGGGUGCUUUUUAAUAUAAUUUUCCCUCUGUUAUUACCAGAUGGAGGCGGGGUUCCUAGAAGGACUAUAGUUCCUUCAAGAAGGAAGAUUUUUUUUAGUGCAUAAGGACACCAAUUUUGAUUAGAAACAUGAAUUGUGCAUUGCAGUUUUUAACUUUUUGCCUUCCUUGUAGCAUUAAGUUUGCACAAUAAAUAAAUAAUAUGUGCCUUA
Long non-coding RNA from Pantherophis guttatus, 697 nucleotides. RefSeq lists it as uncharacterized. Lineage: Eukaryota; Metazoa; Chordata; Lepidosauria; Squamata; Colubridae. The record is from RefSeq and is a predicted model, not a curated record.